This 583-nucleotide ribosomal RNA is filed under the name uncultured organism. Its description in RNAcentral is "bacterial SSU rRNA". It matches the Rfam family "Bacterial small subunit ribosomal RNA", at positions 48 to 675 of the family's 1533-position model. The record is from RNAcentral.
UUAACACAUGCAAGUCGAACGGGCUCUUCGGAGCUAGUGGCGGACGGGUGAGUAACGCGUGAGAAUCUGCCUUCAGGAGGGGGAUAACGACUGGAAACGGUCGCUAAUACCCCAUAUGCCUCCGGGUGAAAAGUAAUUCGCCUGAAGAUGAGCUCGCGUCAGAUCAGCUAGUUGGUGGGGUAAGAGCCUACCAAGGCGACGAUCUGUAGCUGGUCUGAGAGGAUGAUCAGCCACACUGGGACUGAGACACGGCCCAGACUCCUACGGGAGGCAGCAGUGGGGAAUUUUCCGCAAUGGGCGCAAGCCUGACGGAGCAAGACCGCGUGGGGGAUGACGGCCUAAUGGUUGUAAACCCCUUUUCUCUGGGAAGAAGACUGACGGUACCAGAGGAAUCAGCCUCGGCUAACUCCGUGCCAGCAGCCGCGGUAAUACGGAGGAGGCAAGCGUUAUCCGGAAUUAUUGGGCGUAAAGCGUCCGUAGGUGGUUAUUCAAGUCUGCUGUCAAAGCGUGGGGGCUUAACUCCAUAGAGGCAGUGGACACUGAGUGACUAGAGUGCGGGAGGGGGUCGAGGGAAUUCCCAGUG